RNAcentral lists this non-coding RNA (717 nucleotides) under Nematostella vectensis (starlet sea anemone). RNAcentral's name for it is "Eukaryotic large subunit ribosomal RNA". It matches the Rfam family "Eukaryotic large subunit ribosomal RNA", at positions 1 to 524 of the family's 3401-position model. The record is from Rfam by way of RNAcentral. Lineage: Eukaryota; Metazoa; Cnidaria; Anthozoa; Actiniaria; Edwardsiidae.
UGACCUCAGAUCAGGCAAGGCUACCCGCUGAAUUUAAGCAUAUUAAUAAGCUGAGGAAAAGAAACUAACAAGGAUUCCCCUAGUAAUGGCGAAUGAAGCGGGAACAGCUCAAAUUUAAAAUCUCCGUUGCUUGCAACGGCGAAUUGUAGUUUCGAGAAGCACUUUCUCGGCGGAUCCGAGGUCGUCCAAGUUGCUUGGAACAGCACGUCGUAGAGGGUGAAAACCCCGUCUGCGGCGACCUCAGCCGUUCACGAUGUGCUUUCGACGAGUCGGGUUGUUUGUGAAUGCAGCCCAAAAUGGGUGGUAAACUCCAUCUAAAGCUAAAUAUUGGCACGAGACCGAUAGCGAACAAGUACCGUGAGGGAAAGAUGAAAAGCACUUUGAAAAGAGAGUUAAAAAGUACGUGAAACCGUUAAAAGGGAAACGAAUGGGGUUAGCAAUGCGUCGUGCGAGAUUCAGCCGGUGGGUGGGCCAGGCGGGCGGUUGGCGGAUCUGAAUGGACCGCUGCCGUUCGGGUUGGUUUCCCGACCGUCGCACUUCUCGCAGGCGCGCGCCAAGGUCGGUUAGGGCUGGGUCUCAAAGGCGGUGGAAAGGUAGGUUUGGACUCUCGGGCCCGAACUGUUACAGUCCUCCGUUUGUCAUGGCCCGGACCUGACCGAGGAGCUUGCGGUGCAUGCCGUUCGGCUAGGGUCCCGUCUUCCCGGUCGGUCGUCGAAU